Molecule: ribosomal RNA, 391 nt
Filed under: uncultured bacterium
Lineage: Bacteria
Description: bacterial SSU rRNA
Rfam family: Bacterial small subunit ribosomal RNA
Source: RNAcentral
GACGAACGCUGGCGGCGUGCUUAACACAUGCAAGUCGAGCGGUAAGGCCCUUUCGGGGGUACACGAGCGGCGAACGGGUGAGUAACACGUGGGUGACCUGCCCUCAGCUCUGGGAUAAGCCUGGGAAACUGGGUCUAAUACUGGAUAUGACUCCACGGUGCAUGUCGUGGGGUGGAAAGCCUUGUGCGGCUGAGGAUGGGGCCCGCGGCCUAUCAGCUUGUUGGUGGGGGUGANGGCCUACCAAGGCGACGACGGGUAGCCGGCCUGAGAGGGCGACCGGCCACACUGGGACUGAGACACGGCCCAGACUCCUACGGGAGGGCAGCAGUGGGGAAUCUUGCGCAAUGGGCGAAAGCCUGACGCAGCGACGCCGCGUGAGGGAUGACGGCCU